ACGUACACUCCUACGGGAGGCAGCAGUGGGGAAUAUUGGACAAUGGGCGCAAGCCUGAUCCAGCCAUGCCGCGUGAGCGAUGAAGGCCCUAGGGUUGUAAAGCUCUUUCACCGGAGAAGAUAAUGACGGUAUCCGGAGAAGAAGCCCCGGCUAACUUCGUGCCAGCAGCCGCGGUAAUACGAAGGGGGCUAGCGUUGUUCGGAAUUACUGGGCGUAAAGCGCACGUAGGCGGAUCGAUCAGUCAGGGGUGAAAUCCCAGGGCUCAACCCUGGAACUGCCUUUGAUACUGUCGAUCUGGAGUAUGGAAGAGGUGAGUGGAAUUCCGAGUGUAGAGGUGAAAUUCGUAGAUAUUCGGAGGAACACCAGUGGCGAAGGCGGCUCACUGGUCCAUUACUGACGCUGAGGUGCGAAAGCGUGGGGAGCAAACAGGAUUAGAAACCCUGGUAGUCCCAU
This 453-nucleotide ribosomal RNA is filed under the name uncultured organism. Its description in RNAcentral is "partial 16S ribosomal RNA". It matches the Rfam family "Bacterial small subunit ribosomal RNA", at positions 329 to 798 of the family's 1533-position model. The record is from RNAcentral.